RNAcentral lists this ribosomal RNA (469 nucleotides) under Paramysis kessleri. RNAcentral describes it as "partial 16S ribosomal RNA". It matches the Rfam family "Bacterial large subunit ribosomal RNA", at positions 1858 to 2611 of the family's 2925-position model. The record is from RNAcentral. Lineage: Eukaryota; Metazoa; Arthropoda; Malacostraca; Mysida; Mysidae.
CCUGCCCACUGUUAACAUAAAGGGCUGCAGUAUUUUGACUGUGCAAAGGUAGCAUAGUAGAUUGCCUUUUAAGAGGGGGCUGGAAUGAAAGGUUUAACAAGGCUGGAGCUGUUCCCUUGGCUUGGUCAAAUUUAGAGUUACUGUAAAAAUUCAGUAGUGUCGCUAAGGGACGAUAAGACCCUAUAAAUUUUAGUGGGUUUGUGCUAGUUAAGAAACAGGUUAGCGCUGUUCUCACUUAGUUGGGGCAACCUUAAUGAGGAAAUCAUUAAUUUUUAAACAGUACCACUGGGGCUAAGAGCCGGGUUACCGCAAGGGAUAAAAAUACUUUAGGGAUAACAGCGUUAUUGUCUCGGAGAGUUCAAAUUUAUGAGACAGAUUACGACCUCGAUGUUGAAUUAAGAAAACUUUUAGGUGUAGCCGCUUAGAGGGUUAGCCUGUUCGGCUAUUUUACUCUUACGUGAUCUGAGUU